GCUGGGUACAGUGGCGCAUACCUGUAAUCCCAGUGACUCAGGAGGCUGAGACAGGAGGAUCGCAAGUUCAAAGCCAACCUCAGCAAAAGCGAGGCACUAGGCAACUCAGUGAGACCCUGUCUCUA
RNAcentral lists this small RNA (125 nucleotides) under Marmota monax (woodchuck). Lineage: Eukaryota; Metazoa; Chordata; Mammalia; Rodentia; Sciuridae. The record is from RNAcentral.